GCCCGCUCAGAAACUACAAAGGAAUUGACGGGGCCCGGCACAAGCGGUGGAGUAUGUGGUUAAUUCGAUGCAACGCGAAGAACCUUACCUGGUCUUGACAUCCCGGAGACCCUUAGGAAACUAGGGGUGCUUCCAUCUGGAAGAAUCUGGAGACAGGUGCUGCAUGGCUGUCGUCAGCUCGUGUCGUGAGAUGUUGGGUUAAGUCCCGCAACGAGCGCAACCCUUGCCUUUAGUUGCCAGCAGUUCGGCUGGGCACUCUAAAGGGACUGCCGGUGUUAAACCGGAGGAAGGUGGGGAUGACGUCAAGUCCUCAUGGCCUUUAUGACCAGGGCUACACACGUACUACAAUGGCCGAUACAAAGGGCAGCGACACUGCGAGGUGAAGCCAAUCCCGUAAAAUCGGUCUCAGUCCGGAUUGGAGUCUGCAACUCGACUCCAUGAAGUUGGAAUCGCUAGUAAUCGUGGAUCAGCAUGCCACGGUGAAUACGUUCCCGGGCCUU
This 500-nucleotide ribosomal RNA is filed under the name uncultured Desulfobulbus sp. RNAcentral's name for it is "bacterial SSU rRNA". It matches the Rfam family "Bacterial small subunit ribosomal RNA", at positions 903 to 1382 of the family's 1533-position model. The record is from RNAcentral. Lineage: Bacteria; Pseudomonadati; Thermodesulfobacteriota; Desulfobulbia; Desulfobulbales; Desulfobulbaceae.